UCAGAGAUAAGAGUUAGGGUUUUUGAGUGACAGAGGAGAAGUUCAAGAUUUAGGGUUCUUGAAUGAGAGAGAGAUGAGUGAGAGGCUGGAAUGAAUUGUGUAGAAUGAUCGAGAAAAUGGUAGGUGGGGAAUGAUUCCAAGAAUAAAAAAAAAGGAGGGAACCCUAAUGUAAUUAAUGAUUGUUAGGUUAGUAGUUAGAAUAAUUAAUAAGGUAGGUGAGUUAAUUGUAAUGGCAAUAUUGUAAUAAUUCAGUUUUUUUUUUUCCAUUUGUGGAAGUGUGUCACUUAUUAUGACUAUUCCUUAAUAGGAAAGUGACUCACUUAAAAAGAAACGGAGGAAGUAUAUUUUUAGGUGUUUACUACUUACCAGUCUUUUUCUAAAUGUUGCUUAAAGAACAAUUUCUUUUGGUGCUGGCUUCUUUGUUUUAAUAGGAUGGCAAGUAGUGUGAAUGAUAUUGGAGUCAUAUGGAUUCCUCGUACUGUUGAGGGUCCUCGUUUGCAUCAUGAAGAUGUAAUGAAAGCACCUAAAGAGAGUGUGAAUGGGGUUGUUCUUUGAAUGAUGAGAAGAGGGAAUUUGGCAAGGAUCAUUGUAGUACAUCCCGUGGUAAAGAUGUCUACGAAGUUAUGCUUAAUAUCUCUACUAAUAAAAUCAGGCACUCUGUUGAGGACGGCUCACACUCAUUGAGUCAGACUCGAGUUGUUUUUUCAUUGGAUUCUAUUGAAGGAGAACACGUUGGUGGCUCUGACAAUAGUUUGCAAAGUGAAAUGAAUAUAUUAACUACAAGUGGUGCACCUUGCUUAUUAGGGAAAGCACAGGAACUACCUACAUUACAUCCUUCAACAAGGCUGUAACUUAUACACUGUUCAAUGCAGAAUUCUUUCUGCAAUCAUUUUCAGUUGUUCAGUUGAAUUGGUAGUUUUGGCUUUGUGGAAGAAGGCAUUACGAAUUUGCAACUCUUGGCUGCCACGAAGUGGUCUAUCCGAUAGCUCUUCAGGAAAGAAGUCCACUGGUAAAGGAGCUGCAAGUUCUUCCUUAGAAACAGAAGACACCACAGACUUCAUGAAUCCUUCCUCGGUAUCUAUCUGGGCCGAGCAAGGCUUUAUUAAUGCAUAUGAUGGAACAGAAAAGCUAUUCAAGUAUCUGCAGGACUUGUAUUGUAAAAUUUAUUUUGGGAUUAUUUUAUUGAAAACUAAACAUUUAUCUUAUAAACCAAAUCUAUAAACCAUUUUCUCUCCCCUCCCUU
This is a long non-coding RNA of Beta vulgaris subsp. vulgaris (sugar beet), 1243 nucleotides long. RefSeq lists it as uncharacterized. The transcript has 4 exons. The record is from RefSeq and is a predicted model, not a curated record. NCBI's taxonomy places the organism in Eukaryota, Viridiplantae, Streptophyta, Magnoliopsida, Caryophyllales, Amaranthaceae.